CUGAAACACACCACAAGGUGCACGUUUGGAAAACAAGCAAGUGCUUCCUCACAUUGCCUGUCAACCCCCAGCUUCCUCCGUGAGGCCCUGGGGCAGAUUUCCUGGGCCUGGCCCAACAUUGGCUUCUUCACCCCUCCUUGGCAGGUUUCAAGCUUUUCAAACACAGGGAAAGCAGUCUAUCCAGGUGGGACCACAGUGUCUGUGAGGUGGCCUGCCCAGCAUGAAGACUUAGAGGCAUCAUUCAACUUAAGGACAUCCCUAACUCCUACAUAGCUCCAGGAACCAAAUGCUGGAGUCCGGAGAUGAACAAGAUUCGUAUUUCUUUGCUCCCCUCUGCUUCCAUUCCUUCAGGCCACUCAGCCUCACAGAAGCAGUGAAGGAUCUUUUUAGUGCUCCCGAGAAGCCCCUGAAGAAUGCUGCAGACCCUUUGUGUCAGGGUGGUUAGCACUGAAAACAACCCGCUUGGUUUGCUGUUGCUUGUGGUCUCUGCAGCAUUCACCAACGGCCUGAGGAAGGACAGAGCAACUUGACAAUGUCCUCAUUAGAAGGCACUUAGUUCCUCAUCAGUAAAAACAGGGUGCCAUCUAUCACACCUUCAGAGUGUUCUGGAUGGAUCACACAUUUGUGCAUGUGUGAGUGUGUUUGUCUGUCUCGUGUGUGUGUGUGUGUGUGUGUGUGUGUGUGUGUGUGUGUGUGUGUGUGCUCAAGCACAGGCAUGUUAGGGCAUGCGUGCACACGCUCGUGCACACUUGCGUGCGUGUGCACGUGCGCACACACACACAGAGACACACACAAG
This 796-nucleotide long non-coding RNA is filed under the name Cricetulus griseus (Chinese hamster). Its description in RNAcentral is "lncRNA (ENSCGRG00015031576.1)". The record is from RNAcentral. Lineage: Eukaryota; Metazoa; Chordata; Mammalia; Rodentia; Cricetidae.